RNAcentral lists this ribosomal RNA (525 nucleotides) under uncultured bacterium. Its description in RNAcentral is "bacterial SSU rRNA". It matches the Rfam family "Bacterial small subunit ribosomal RNA", at positions 778 to 1301 of the family's 1533-position model. The record is from RNAcentral.
AUAGAUACCCCGGUAGUCCACGCCGUAAACGAUGAGUGCUAAGUGUUAGAGGGUUUCCGCCCUUUAGUGCUGCAGCAAACGCAUUAAGCACUCCGCCUGGGGAGUACGGCCGCAAGGCUGAAACUCAAAGGAAUUGACGGGGACUCGCACAAGCGGUGGAGCAUGUGGUUUAAUUCGAAGCAACGCGAAGAACCUUACCAGGUCUUGACAUCCUCUGACCAUCCUAGAGAUAGGACCUUCCCCUUCGGGGGACAGAGUGACAGGUGGUGCAUGGUUGUCGUCAGCUCGUGUCGUGAGAUGUUGGGUUAAGUCCCGCAACGAGCGCAACCCUUGUUCUUAGUUGCCAGCAUUCAGUUGGGCACUCUAAGGAGACUGCCGGUGACAAACCGGAGGAAGGUGGGGAUGACGUCAAAUCAUCAUGCCCCUUAUGACCUGGGCUACACACGUGCUACAAUGGAUGGUACAAAGGGCUGCGAAGCCGCGAGGUGGAGCCAAUCCCAUAAAACCAUUCUCAGUUCGGAUUGC